AUCUCCAUCGCAGCAGCCCGCGCCUCCUUGAGCGAGAGCGUUAAAGCGCUCAGAGGAUGUUAGGACGGGGUGGGUAGAAAACCUGACUCUUCGUGUCUUCUGCGUUGCACUGAGGUGGAUUUUUACUUUUGUCUUAUUUCAAGCAGAAGUUGCCGCCCUAACUUCCAAAUUUGGGGACUGAACAUCGUUCACCGAAUACACUUUGUGAUGAAAAACACAUACUUCUUGGAUUUGUGUUUUGGAAACCUGUGACAGUACCUGCUGAAGUUCACCGAUCUCAUGGCGUAAAUAAUCCUCCUUUCUGGCAGCCGCUUGUUCUGUACGCUGCAAUGCAAGCCUAAGGUCCCCCACCUGUAGGAGGAGAAACAAUACAUUCACAAACAAUGUUUUAGGUGAUGAAGUACCUGCUGCCAGAGUUUCCCCUGAAACACACAAAGAAGAGUCUUUUACUUGUGAUUCAGUUGUUUCAGGAGUUCUUGACUGGCCAAUGUGCAAGGAUUCAUGUAAGCUGCUUUUCACUUCUUCUUCUGGUCGUUGUGAUUUUGCUGGAGGUUUUGAUACCACUGGACUCUUCUGAAUGGUCUGGACAUCAGUUGGCGAGAGAAAGGCACUGAAGAAAUUUUCAGAUUCAUCGACCACAGUCCUCCGAACUGGCUUUGUGAUUGCUUUAGGAGAGGCUAUUGGUGGACUCUGAGGUUCAGUGUUUGAUUUCAACCCCCAGGUUGAAGUAUCCCAUCCUCCACUGACAGGGGAACUUAUUCCUUUAACAAAAAAGUAAAUAUUAAAAAAGAACACAUAUAUGUUACAUUAAUAUUUCAAUCAUCAUUAUAAAUCAGUAUAAAUAUAAAUUUAGAAAAAAUACCCUAUGAAAUACCUGUAAUUUGCACCUGCUAAACUCCUUGCUUACUACAUCAUUAAGUAGUUUCCAAGUUAAUACAGGGACUUACGGAAGAAAACUGGUGUGGGUCCACCUGAGAGGAAGGAGGAGCACAGACAAAAGACUGGGCCUGGCCUGGACUACCAGAUGCGAGGUGGCUGUGAUGGCUGGAGAUUUCAUUUGCCUAAAGAUUAUGAUGAGAGAGAAGUAUCAAACAUAAUUUUUAUCAAAAGAUAAUUUUUUUAAGGUUUCAAAAAUCACAAAAAUGAUUUUUACAACAUAACAAAAAUCUACAAUACUUACAGAGAAGCACUAUUGGUUAGAUAAUCCAAAACCUCCUGUAGUUUAGCUGAUGGAGAAAA
Long non-coding RNA from Homo sapiens (human), 1239 nucleotides. Ensembl annotates it as EOGT divergent transcript. Its record names the gene EOGT-DT. Lineage: Eukaryota; Metazoa; Chordata; Mammalia; Primates; Hominidae. The record is from Ensembl.